AGUGCAUGUGGUGGAUGCCUUGGCAGUCAGAGGCGAUGAAAGACGUGAUAGCCUGCGAAAAGCUCCGGGGAGGCGGCAAAUAUCCUUUGAUCCGGAGAUGUCUGAAUGGGGGAACCCACCUACUUUAAGGUAGGUAUUGCAACAUGAAUACAUAGUGUUGCAAGGCGAACGAGGGGAAGUGAAACAUCUCAGUACCCUUAGGAAAAGAAAUCAAUUGAGAUUCCCUCAGUAGCGGCGAGCGAACGGGGAUCAGCCCAUUAAGUUAUGUGUGUUUUAGUGGAACGCUCUGGGAAGUGCGAACGUAGAGGGUGAUAUUCCCGUACACGAAAGGGCACACAUAAUGAUGACGAGUAGGGCGAGGCACGUGAAACCUUGUCUGAAUAUGGGGGGACCAUCCUCCAAGGCUAAAUACUCCUGACUGACCGAUAGUGAACCAGUACCGUGAGGGAAAGGCGAAAAGAACCCCUGUGAGGGGAGUGAAAUAGAUCCUGAAACCGCAUGCAUACAAGCAGUGGGAGCACCUUCGUGGUGUGACUGCGUACCUUUUGUAUAAUGGGUCAGCGACUUAUAUUCAGUAGCGAGGUUAACCGUAUAGGGGAGCCGUAGAGAAAUCGAGUCUUAAUAGGGCGUUUAGUUGCUGGGUAUAGACCCGAAACCAGGCGAUCUAUCCAUGAGCAGGUUGAAGGUUGGGUAACACUAACUGGAGGACCGAACCCACUGUCGUUGAAAAGCCAGGGGAUGACUUGUGGAUAGGGGUGAAAGGCUAAUCAAGCCUGGUGAUAGCUGGUUCUCCCCGAAAGCUAUUUAGGUAGCGCCUCGGACGAAUACCAUAGGGGGUAGAGCACUGUUUCGGCUAGGGGGUCAUCCCGACUUACCAAACCGAUGCAAACUCCGAAUACCUAUGAGUACUAUCCGGGAGACAGACUGCGGGUGCUAACGUCCGUAGUCAAGAGGAAAACAAUCCAGACCGCCAGCUAAGGCCCCAAAAUCAUAGUUAAGUGGGAAACGAUGUGGGAAGGCAUAGACAGCUAGGAGGUUGGCUUAGAAGCAGCCACCCUUUAAAGAAAGCGUAAUAGCUCACUAGUCGAGUCGGCCUGCGCGGAAGAUGUAACGGGGCUAAAACUAUGUGCCGAAGCUGCGGAUGUAUACUUUGUAUACGUGGUAGGGGAGCGUUCUGUAAGCCGAUGAAGGUGUGUUGAGAAGCAUGCUGGAGGUAUCAGAAGUGCGAAUGCUGACGUGAGUAACGACAAAACGGGUGAAAAACCCGUUCGCCGAAAGACCAAGGGUUCCAGUCCAACGUUAAUCGGGGCUGGGUGAGUCGACCCUAAGGCGAGGCCGAAAGGCGUAGUCGAUGGGAAAAUGGUUAAUAUUCCAUUACUUCUGUGUAAUGCGAUGAGAGGACGGAGAAGGCUAAAUCAGCCUGGCGUUGGUUGUCCAGGUGAAAGGAUGUAGGCAUGUAUCUUAGGCAAAUCCGGGGUACUCUAUGCUGAGAUCUGAUAGCAAGCUGUACUUGUACAGCGAAGUGGUUGAUGCCAUGCUUCCAGGAAAAGUCUCUAAGCUUCAGUUACACAGGAAUCGUACCCGAAACCGACACAGGUGGUCAGGUCGAGUAGACCAAGGCGCUUGAGAGAACUCUGCUGAAGGAACUAGGCAAAAUGGUACCGUAACUUCGGGAGAAGGUACGCUGUUGUUGGUGAUGGAACUCGCUUCCUGAGCUGACGACAGCCGCAGAAACCAGGCCGCUGCAACUGUUUAUUAAAAACAUAGCACUCUGCAAACACGAAAGUGGACGUAUAGGGUGUGAUGCCUGCCCGGUGCUGGAAGGUUAAUUGAUGGGGUUAGCGUAAGCGAAGCUCUUGAUCGAAGCCCCAGUAAACGGCGGCCGUAACUAUAACGGUCCUAAGGUAGCGAAAUUCCUUGUCGGGUAAGUUCCGACCUGCACGAAUGGCAUAAUGAUGGCGGCGCUGUCUCCAGCAGAGGCUCAGUGAAAUCGAAAUCGCUGUGAAGAUGCAGUGUACCCGCGGCUAGACGGAAAGACCCCGUGAACCUUUACUGCAGCUUGACACUGAACUUUGACCUUACUUGUGUAGGAUAGGUGGGAGGCUUUGAAGCUGGAACGCUAGUUCCAGUGGAGCCGUCCUUGAAAUACCACCCUGGUAAUGUUGAGGUUCUAACUCUGUCCCGUGAUCCGGGACGAGGACCGUGUCUGGUGGGUAGUUUGACUGGGGCGGUCUCCUCCUAAAGAGUAACGGAGGAGUACGAAGGUGCGCUCAGCGUGGUCGGAAAUCACGCGUAGAGUAUAAAGGCAAAAGCGCGCUUAACUGCGAGACCCACAAGUCGAGCAGGUACGAAAGUAGGUCUUAGUGAUCCGGUGGUUCUGUAUGGAAGGGCCAUCGCUCAACGGAUAAAAGGUACUCUGGGGAUAACAGGCUGAUACCGCCCAAGAGUUCAUAUCGACGGCGGUGUUUGGCACCUCGAUGUCGGCUCAUCUCAUCCUGGGGCUGAAGCAGGUCCCAAGGGUAUGGCUGUUCGCCAUUUAAAGAGGUACGCGAGCUGGGUUUAGAACGUCGUGAGACAGUUCGGUCCCUAUCUACCGUGGGCGCUGGAAAUUUGAGAGGAUCUGCUCCUAGUACGAGAGGACCAGAGUGGACGAACCUCUGGUGUACCGGUUGUGACGCCAGUCGCAUCGCCGGGUAGCUAUGUUCGGAAGGGAUAACCGCUGAAAGCAUCUAAGCGGGAAGCCUACCUCAAGAUAAGAUUUCCCUAGGACUUUAUGUCCUCUAAAGAGCCGUUCGAGACUAGGACGUUGAUAGGUUGGAUGUGGAAGCAUAGUGAUAUGUGAAGCUGACCAAUACUAAUUGCUCGUGAGGCUUGACU
RNAcentral lists this ribosomal RNA (2877 nucleotides) under Acinetobacter baumannii AB5711. RNAcentral describes it as "bacterial LSU rRNA". It matches the Rfam family "Bacterial large subunit ribosomal RNA". Lineage: Bacteria; Pseudomonadati; Pseudomonadota; Gammaproteobacteria; Moraxellales; Moraxellaceae. The record is from RNAcentral.